Long non-coding RNA from Zalophus californianus (California sea lion), 1444 nucleotides. RefSeq lists it as uncharacterized. The record is from RefSeq and is a predicted model, not a curated record. The transcript is spliced from 3 exons. Lineage: Eukaryota; Metazoa; Chordata; Mammalia; Carnivora; Otariidae.
CACAUUCAACAGCAGGCAAGAAGAUCCUUGAGGACUGAAAGUGACAGAACUCCCGGGCUGAAUGUGAGGAAUGUGAUGACAAAAGCUGGUAUCAUUAGACUGGACUUCUUUCAAGACCAACAAAAGGAUUCAACCUCAGACAUAUUUCCAAGGAGAUAAAAAUCUCUGAAAGAUGGAUUACUGAAGAUAUCGUAAAAUCUAAAUCCUAAUUAAUAAACACUCCAACUGGCUGCAGUACCUGGGGACUCCACAGCUGCUCCAUACCCUUCUGCACUGGUUUAAACAAACGUUUUGUCAAAUGUCGAAGCACACCACCACCAACCUCUUAUUGCUGAAGUUCUGAAGAUUCCGCGUAUGAAGCGGCUAAACUCUACAGAUAAUUAUUUGAUGGAUGGAUGGAUGUUUAUGUGGGUUGUGCGUAUAAAAACACAUCAAUGUUUUUGCAUUAAGUUCUAAAAAAAAAUCUUUCAACUACAGUUAUAACCUAUUAAAAUAUCUUCAAGUACCUGGCAUUUGAUGAUCAGGGUUUCUUUCCACUAAAUUGUUAAAUAAAAGUGUGAGCAAGGAUUUUUAGUUAUUAACACUGGUGCUAACUCCUUCUUUCAGUGACAUUUUGAUUAAACAAAGUGGAAAACUUUGUAAGCAUAGUACCUCUGAGUUUUAUAAAGACUGGUAACUCUCAAGUGCAUGGUAAAACUAAAAUAACCUGUCAAAUAAUUCAAGACCUAUACCAGUUUUUUAAGAAACUUGGCAUUCAGCACUGCUUUGGAGUUACAAAAUAUCCUAUCACAGUGAACUCUGUGGUUACCCUUUGAGUAAUUUGGGUUUGGUUGUUAUGUUUAAUUAUAAAGAUGAGUAGUGACUUCCUUAAAAAUUUUUUUAAAUUUAAGAAAUGAUUUCCUUACUGGUUUUCUAGUCUUGUCAAUUUGAGGAUCUUGAGGAUUUUCUGAAAGCAAUCUGCACUAGGUGAUGAGGUGUCAAAUGAUUCCAAAGAAAUAAACCUUAUGGAGGGCAAUUUGGCAAUAUUGUCAAAAUUAUAAACGUGUAACCCUUUGAUGCAGUAAUCCCUGGGUCUAAAAGUUCUGAGAAUUUAUGUUACAGAAAUACUAGCACAUGUGAGAAAUGAUACAAGUGUAAGCUUAUUCACUUCCACAUUAAUUUUAAUGACAGGAAUUAAUAUAAAAGUGCAACAUUAGUGGAGUGACUCAAUGAUGAUAGAUUGAUAAAAUGGAAUAUGAUACAACUUUUUAAGAAGAAAAUUGUCUAUAUACUAAUAUGGGUAUAUCACCAAAAUAUAUUGCUAAAUGAAACAAGGGUGCAGAGCAGUGUGUAUAGAAGGUUAUCUUUUGUGUAGAAAGGGUAGGGUUCAGAAAAUAUAUUUUUUAUAGCUGCAUCAAGAAUAUCAAGAAACUAGUAACAGUUGUUACCUAUGUGUUGGGAGGAA